AUUAAGGUGGCAGAGCAGGUAAUUGCAUAAAACUUAAGCCUUUACAACCAGAGGUUCAAACCCUCUCCUUAAUA
Molecule: non-coding RNA, 74 nt
Organism: Vombatus ursinus (common wombat)
Lineage: Eukaryota; Metazoa; Chordata; Mammalia; Diprotodontia; Vombatidae
Source: Ensembl